AGGGAUAUAGCUUAGUGGUACAGCAUUUGCCUAACAUGUAUAAGGCCCUAGGUUCAAUCCCUAGGACCACCA
Molecule: transfer RNA, 72 nt
Filed under: Cavia porcellus (domestic guinea pig)
Lineage: Eukaryota; Metazoa; Chordata; Mammalia; Rodentia; Caviidae
Rfam family: tRNA
About the family: Transfer RNA (tRNA) molecules are approximately 80 nucleotides in length. Their secondary structure includes four short double-helical elements and three loops (D, anti-codon, and T loops).
Source: Rfam by way of RNAcentral